This 74-nucleotide transfer RNA is filed under the name Acidobacteriota bacterium. Its description in RNAcentral is "tRNA-Lys". It matches the Rfam family "tRNA". From Rfam's summary of the family: Transfer RNA (tRNA) molecules are approximately 80 nucleotides in length. Their secondary structure includes four short double-helical elements and three loops (D, anti-codon, and T loops). Lineage: Bacteria; Pseudomonadati; Acidobacteriota. The record is from RNAcentral.
AGGCCGGUAGCUAAGAGGCUCAAGGCGUCCGCCUUUUAAGCGGAACAUCGUCGGUUCGAAUCCGACCCGGCCUA